GCAGUCACCUCGGCUGCCUGGAGCAGAGGACAGAAGAGAAAGCUCCCGAGGGGGCUCCGCUGUCUUCUCCAGGAGUGACAACGCUGCUUUCUCAGUUGAACCCCGCCCCCUCCUCUGCGAUCCGCUGCGGGCUGCAGGGAGCAUCGCUUAUCCUUUGGAGCCCUCUGCCAGGAAGAGCCCGUUGCGUGCGGCCCCUGGUGCCUGGCCAUUCCCGUGCAGGCUGGAUUCUCCAGAGGUGAUCACGCUCUCCUUAGUGGAUUCUGACUUCCUUUCUGACGAGCCUGGGCAGUACUACAGCUCGUGACCACUGACUGAAAAUGCCCGGGCAGGCUCAUUCCACACCGGGCUUCUCGCCAACAAGAGCUUACCCAGUUAGUACCUUUGCUAUCCUAAGAAACCAUUGCCUACAAGGAUCUUCUCCUAUUUUACCAUCUAAAAACAAUGUUUGGGGGACUUCCUUGGUGGUCCAGUGGUUAGGACUCCACGCUUCCACUGCAGAGGGCAAGGGUUCGACUCCUAGUCAGGCGUUCAGGCAUCAGGAUCGAUGAUGAACUUUCAAAAAGGAAAAGGAUGGAAAAUCAUCGAACUUACCAUGAACUGUGCUCCCUUAAGUGUUUCCUCAUAGCAUGUGCAGAGUCAAGGGAAAUUAUAUUCCUGUAUUAUUUAGUCUACCAACAACCUAUUUACCUACGGUCUUAAUCUGGGUUAUUCUUGAAAGUAGAGCCUGAGACAAAGGUAGACACAUUCUAUUUUGGGAAUGUGAUCCCAGGGAACAGGAAGGAGACAGAGGGGAGUGAACAGGCGGAAAAGGGAAAGUCCAAGCAAAACAAGGUAGUGUUAUUGAGUGGCCCACUAGUGUUCAUGGCUACUUAGUGCAGAACCUUCCCAUGAUUCUUAACAAACUUUGGCUCAGAACAGUCUGCCUGAGGGACGAAAAGAAGAAGGAUUUAUGUCUCAUUAGCUAUCACCUGUGUGCUGAGGGCUGCUCACAUGGGGCAUUAACUCCCCCAUGAGGAGACCCUCACUGGUACUACAGCAUCACAUGUGCUGCAACAGAGAAGCUUUGGGACAGGAAGCUAGAUUCUUGACGCAAGCCUGAGAUGAGGCACCGUCAGCACAGAGCGGGAUGAAACCUGCCCAGAGCUGUUCACCAAAGCUGCGGCUGGAAUCGGAGGUGGAAGAGAUGGGAGACAGUGCACAGGAGGCAUCUCAGAAGCCUAGAGAAUGCGUUGUUAGCCUUGUCUAAAUCCAUAUUCUCUCUUCUUUCUAUCAUCAAAAUUUCACUGUCCAGAACAAGGUUGGCAGAAGGGUUAAAUAGGAAGGUUAAAUGUACUUCCUAGAAGCUGUAUGUUAACAGUUUUAACCUGAGUGACACUUAUAAGAAAUAGGAAGUGACCCUAGAACUUGGAAAAUUUUUAAAUUAUUCUACUUGAAACAUUUUACCAUUGGGUAGCAAUAUUAGAUAUCUUCUAAACUCAUGUAACCUCAGAAGUAAUCAUGAAUUGUUUGGAGAAAUAAAAUUAACCAUUUCUUAUAUUUCUAUGAGCUUUAU
Long non-coding RNA from Balaenoptera musculus (blue whale), 1552 nucleotides. NCBI's taxonomy places the organism in Eukaryota, Metazoa, Chordata, Mammalia, Artiodactyla, Balaenopteridae. The record is from Ensembl.